Molecule: ribosomal RNA, 250 nt
Filed under: uncultured bacterium
Lineage: Bacteria
Description: partial 16S ribosomal RNA
Rfam family: Bacterial small subunit ribosomal RNA
Source: RNAcentral
GACGAACGCUGGCGGCGCGCUUAACACAUGCAAGUCGAGCGAUGAAACUUUGACAGAUCCCUUCGGGGUGAAGAUAAAGUGGAUUAGCGGCGGACGGGUGAGUAACACGUGAGUAACCUGCCUCGGACAUUGGGAUAGCCUCGGGAAACCGGGAUUAAUACCAAAUGAAAUCAAAGAUACACAUGUAUCAAUGAUCAAAACUCCGGUGGUCUGAGAUGGACUCGCGUCCCAUUAGCUAGUUGGUAAGGUA